GACGAACGCUGGCGGCGUGCUUAACACAUGCAAGUCGAACGGAAAGGCCCUGCUUUUGUGGGGUGCUCGAGUGGCGAACGGGUGAGUAACACGUGAGUAACCUGCCCUUGACUUUGGGAUAACUUCAGGAAACUGGGGCUAAUACCGGAUAGGAGCUCCUGCUGCAUGGUGGGGGUUGGAAAGUGUCGGCGGUUGGGGAUGGACUCGCGGCUUAUCAGCUUGUUGGUGGGGUAGUGGCUUACCAAGGCUUUGACGGGUAGCCGGCAUGAGAGGGUGACCGGCCACAUUGGGACUGAGAUACGGACCAGACUCCUACGGGAGGCAGCAGUGGGGAAUAUUGCACAAUGGGCGGAAGCCUGAUGCAGCAACGCCGCGUGCGGGAUGACGGCCUUCGGGUUGUAAACCGCUUUCGCCUGUGACGAAGCGUGAGUGACGGUAAUGGGUAAAGAAGCACCGGCUAACUACGUG
Molecule: ribosomal RNA, 468 nt
Filed under: uncultured bacterium
Lineage: Bacteria
Description: partial 16S ribosomal RNA
Rfam family: Bacterial small subunit ribosomal RNA
Source: RNAcentral